UGCCAGCCGCCGCGGUAAUACGGAGGGUGCAAGCGUUGUUCGGAAUCACUGGGCGUAAAGCGCGUGUAGGCGGCCAGGCAGGUCGGAUGUGAAAGCCCGGGGCCCAACCCCGGAAUUGCAUUCGAAACUACCUGGCUAGAGUCCUGGAGAGGAAGGCGGAAUUCCCGGUGUAGAGGUGAAAUUCGUAGAUAUCGGGAGGAACACCAGCGGCGAAGGCGGCCUUCUGGACAGUGACUGACGCUGAGACGCGAAAGCGUGGGGAGCAAACGGGAUUAGAUA
RNAcentral lists this ribosomal RNA (279 nucleotides) under uncultured bacterium. RNAcentral's name for it is "partial 16S ribosomal RNA". It matches the Rfam family "Bacterial small subunit ribosomal RNA", at positions 506 to 784 of the family's 1533-position model. The record is from RNAcentral.